CAGCCGCCGCGGUAAUACAGAGGCCUCAAGCGUUGUUCGGAUUCAUUGGGCGUAAAGGGAGCGUAGGCGGUCGGGUAAGUCGGAUGUGAAAUCCUGGGGCUCAACCUCAGAACUGCAUUCGAUACUGCUUGGCUAGAGGACUGGAGAGGUGAGUGGAAUUCACGGUGUAGCAGUGAAAUGCGUAGAUAUCGUGAGGAAGACCAGCGGCGAAGGCGGCUCACUGGACAGUUUCUGACGCUGAUGCUCGAAGGCCAGGGGAGCAAACGGGAUUAGAUACCCCGGUAGUCCCUGUCUCUUAUAC
This 301-nucleotide ribosomal RNA is filed under the name uncultured bacterium. RNAcentral describes it as "partial 16S ribosomal RNA". It matches the Rfam family "Bacterial small subunit ribosomal RNA", at positions 509 to 807 of the family's 1533-position model. The record is from RNAcentral.